RNAcentral lists this small RNA (986 nucleotides) under Pan troglodytes (chimpanzee). RNAcentral describes it as "processed transcript". Lineage: Eukaryota; Metazoa; Chordata; Mammalia; Primates; Hominidae. The record is from RNAcentral.
GAGGGUUGGUGCAGAAGUACCCACAGCAGAAUAGAUCAUGUGUCCCACCAGUGGCAGAAUGGGCUGUUCCUCAGUCAUCAAGACUGAAAUACAGGCAAUUAUUCAAUAGUCAUGACAAAACUAUGAGUGGACACUUAACAGAUGGAGCUUCACUCUUGUUGCCCAGGCCGGAAUGCAAUGGUGUGAUCUCAGCUCACUGCAGUCUCCACCUCUUGGGUUCAAGUGAGUCUCCUGCCUCAGCCUCCCAAGUAGCUGGGAUUACAGGCAUGUACCACCACGCCCGGCUAAUUUUGUAUUUUUAGUAGAAACAGGGUUUCACCAUGUUGCUCAGGCUGGUCUCAAACUCCUGACCUCAGGUGAUCCACCCACCUCAGCCUCCCAAAGUGCUGGGAUUACAGGCAUGAGCCACCACACCCGGCCCACUGAAGGUCCCCAAGCAAGAACUAUUCUUAUGCAAUCAAGUUUACCACAGGCUCAGCUGGCUUCAAUAUGGAAUCUUUCUGACAUUGAUCAAGAUGGAAAACUUACAGCAGAAGAAUUUAUCCUGGCAAUGCACCUCAUUGAUGUAGCUAUGUCUGGCCAACCACUGCCACCUGUCCUGCCUCCAGAAUAUAUUCCACCUUCUUUUAGAAGAGUUCGAUCUGGCAGUGGUAUAUCUGUCAUAAGCUCAACAUCUGUAGAUCAGAGGCUACCAGAGGAACCAGUUUUAGAAGAUGAACAACAACAAUUAGAAAAGAAAUUACCUGUAACGUUUGAAGAUAAGAAGCGGGAGAACUUUGAACGUGGCAACCUGGAACUGGAGAAACGAAGGCAAGCUCUCCUGGAACAGCAGCGCAAGGAGCAGGAGCGCCUGGCCCAGCUGGAGCGGGCGGAGCAGGAGAGGAAGGAGCGUGAGCGCCAGGAGCAAGAGCGCAAAAGACAACUGGAACUGGAGAAGCAACUGGAAAAGCAGCGGGAGCUAGAACGGCAGAGAGAGGAGGAGAGGA